AAACACACUUCAGAUGUCGUU
Non-coding RNA from Caenorhabditis elegans, 21 nucleotides. The record is from Ensembl. Lineage: Eukaryota; Metazoa; Nematoda; Chromadorea; Rhabditida; Rhabditidae.